UACGUAGGGUCCGAGCGUUGUCCGGAUUUAUUGGGCGUAAAGAGCGUGUAGGCGGCCAGAUAAGUCCGCUGUGAAAUCUCGAGGCUCAACUUCGAGCUGUCGGUGGAAACUGUCUGGCUAGAGUCCGGAAGAGGAGAAUGGAAUUCCUGGUGUAGCGGUGAAAUGCGCAGAUAUCAGGAGGAACACCGGUGGCGAAGGCGGGAUCCUGGGCCAGUACUGACGCUGAGGAGCGAAAGCGUGGGGAGCGAACAGG
Molecule: ribosomal RNA, 253 nt
Filed under: uncultured bacterium
Lineage: Bacteria
Description: partial 16S ribosomal RNA
Rfam family: Bacterial small subunit ribosomal RNA
Source: RNAcentral